This 257-nucleotide ribosomal RNA is filed under the name uncultured bacterium. RNAcentral's name for it is "partial small subunit ribosomal RNA". It matches the Rfam family "Bacterial small subunit ribosomal RNA", at positions 26 to 288 of the family's 1533-position model. The record is from RNAcentral.
AGGACGAACGCUGGCGGCGUGCUUAACACAUGCAAGUCGAGCGGAAAGGCCCUUCGGGGUACUCGAGCGGCGAACGGGUGAGUAACACGUGAGUAACCUGCCCCUAGCUCUGGGAUAACUCCGGGAAACCGGGGCUAAUACCGGAUACGACCCGAGAAGACAUCUUCUCGGGUGGAAAGUUUUUCGGCUCGGGAUGGGCCCGCGGCCUAUCAGCUUGUUGGUGGGGUAAUGGCCUACCAAGGCGACGACGGGUAGCC